Carassius carassius (crucian carp) is the source of this 962-nucleotide long non-coding RNA. RefSeq lists it as uncharacterized. The transcript is spliced from 2 exons. The record is from RefSeq and is a predicted model, not a curated record. Lineage: Eukaryota; Metazoa; Chordata; Actinopteri; Cypriniformes; Cyprinidae.
GACCUUUGGUGAUCCAAUUCAUCCAUACUAAUAAGCAAAAAUGACUUUAUAUAAACUAACAAUUGUGCUUGGUUGUUUUUUAUUGUUGAAGGCGUGUUGAAUCUUCUUCUCUUGUGUUCUACUGUACUGACGUCAAUUUACUUUUCCUUCAGUCUGAGGUUUAUUCAUUACACUUUUUGGUGUGAAAGGACUUUAACAUUAGCUAUAAAUAGAACUUCUUAUAUAAAAAAAAAAAUCAAGCCCUGCCCAUAUUUAAAAAGUAACACGAAAGUAACAUAACACAUUACUUUCCAUAAAAAGUGACUAAGUAACGUAAUUAGUUAGUUUUUUUAGGGAGUAACACAAUAUUGUAAUUCAUUACUUUUAAACGUAACUUUCCCCAACACUGCUUAUGAAGACCUCCUUUUAAUGGUUCAUGGGUGAAUAGUGUGUUUGAUGCCAUGCUUCCAGAAUUUAUGAAUUUAUAAGUAUAAGUUUGUGAAUUUUUUUUGCAAUUUAAUUACAAAUCCCAGCUUCCCAGAAUCAAUCCCAAGAUCAGUCUUUUGCAACAAGUGUAGCCUAAUUCCAGAAAUCUUUUUAACAAAUCAAAAACAUACUGUGGAACAAAUUCAGCUUUAUUCCCGAAACAAAAGAACACAUUGCAACAAUAUAUAGUGUGUCAGCUUGUUUCCUAAAAUGAAUGGCUCUUAUGAGCCAAUUUCUUUUUAAAGGAAUAGCUCAAAAAAUUGGACUGAAUCAAUAUAACUGAAAAAAAAAAGAAAAAAUUAAUCAUAAUAAAUCAGUUGCAUUGCAUAAUUUUUAUUCUGUUUUACAAAAUCAGCAGGGUCCAGUGGGGACCAAAGGUCUGAGACCAUUUGUGAAAAUGCUUAAGAUUGAAAUACUUCUUGUUUAUUUUGUAUGUCGCUUUAUUUUAUUUUUGCUUUCAACACCAAUAAAUUCUUUUCACAAAGGUCUCAUUAAAA